AAAAAAAAAAAGGAAUACAUCAGAAUCUACUUUUUCGUGUUGUAUAACGUAGGGAAACUUACGCUAAUACCGCAUACGCCCUACGGUUGAAAUCAUGGGAUCUUCGGACCUUGCGCGAUUGAAUGAGCCGAUGUCGGAUUAGCUAGUUGGCGGGGUAAAGUCCCACCAAGGCGACGAUCCGUAGCUGGUAUGAGAGGAGGAUCAGCCAAACUGGAACUGAGACACGGUACAGACUACGAAGGGAGGCAGUAGUGGGGAAUAGUGGAAAAUGGGAGGAAGUAUGAGACAGAAAUACCGCGUGUGUGAAGAAGGUCUUUUUUUUUU
RNAcentral lists this ribosomal RNA (324 nucleotides) under uncultured bacterium. RNAcentral describes it as "partial 16S ribosomal RNA". It matches the Rfam family "Bacterial small subunit ribosomal RNA", at positions 99 to 426 of the family's 1533-position model. The record is from RNAcentral.